CUUGGGGCUGCUGCUCUGCAGGCGCGUGCCGGCGUAGCGACGCACGUACGGGUGGCGCUGCUCGGCGCGCCGUGCGGAUGGCCGACGGGCCGACGGCGCGGGCGACACGAGCGACAGAAAAGAGGCGCGCGGCCCGCGGGGUCUGGCGGUGCGGCUCCUCGUUCCCGCAGCGUCGCCAUUGGCCUGUUCGCCGUCGCUGCCCUCAAUGUCGCUUCCGGCCGAUCCAACAUCGCCGUCUUCUUCAUUGUCGCUCAACCCGUUGGCAUAGGCGACGGCGUCGAGACCUUGCGCUCCAUCAUCGUCGGCGGCUUCCUGGUAGAGCACCGCCGUGCCACGACGCCGCACUGACCGCCUGCCGUUAUUGUUGUUGUCGCCGAUGGCGGCGCCAAAAGCGUCGACGAGUGACAUGGCCGGUCGUGUUGUAUGCCAAAAUCGAGGGGUGCGGAUGAGGCUCUUUUGGCGGGGUUUGUCGUUGCCCCUUGUUGGUUCCUUGUUGUUGUGGUUCUUCUCGGGAGGAAACCGUCCUUUUGUUACUCUUUAGGCGUGAGACUUGCUCAGAGACACAGCACGGCGCACAAAAACAGGGAUGAUGGCGCGGGGCGACAGAGCAGACGGACCGUGCUUUCCCUUUGGCGCGCGCGCCAAUCUCUCGCUGGAGCAGACGACCCCGCGGGGACCUGCGACCGUCGCCGCCGCCGCUGGCCCUCGCACCCCCACGACAUGUGCCCGAGCCGAGUCGACUGGCAGGCGUUGGAGGAAAAAAAAAAGAGGCGCAAAGACCGCAGGGUUUGGAAUCGGUAUGCCGUCGCCGGCAAGGCAAGUCGAGCGCGACCGCUCCACGUCCCCAAAAACAAUUUCGGCCAAAAUAGUGGCCCAUCGAAUAAACAAUAGAUUGCGGUCCAUAUGCGAAAUCCAGUGCAGCCACGACAAGAGCAUGUCCCCCCC
RNAcentral lists this long non-coding RNA (945 nucleotides) under Pandoravirus quercus. RNAcentral's name for it is "hypothetical ncRNA". The record is from RNAcentral.